GAUGAACGCUGGCGGCGUGCUUAACACAUGCAAGUCGAACGAAGCAACUUAUCACGAUUCCUUCGGGAUGACGAUUUGUUGACUGAGUGGCGGACGGGUGAGUAACGCGUGGGUAACCUGCCUUAUACAGGGGGAUAGCAGCUGGAAACGGCUGAUAAUACCGCAUAAGCGCACAGCAUCGCAUGAUGCAGUGUGAAUAACUCCGGUGGUAUAAGAUGGACCCGCGUCUGAUUAGCUAGGUGGUGAGGUAACGGCCCACCAAGGCGACGUCAGUAGCCGACCUGAGAAGGUGACCGGCCACAUUGGGACUGAGACACGGCCCAGACUCCUACGGGAGGCAGCAGGGGGAAUAUUGCACAAUGGAGGAAACUCUGAUGCAGCGACGCCGCGUGAGCGAAGAAGUAUUUCGGUAUGUAAAGCUCUAUCAGCAGGGAAGAUAAUGACGGUACCUGACUAAGAAGCUCCGGCUAAAUACGUGCCAGCAGCCGCGGUAAUACGUAUGGAGCAAGCGUUAUCCGGAUUUACUGGGUGUAAGGGAGGUGUAGGUGGCAAUGCAAGUCAGUAGUGUGAAUCCGGGUGCUCAACCUCGGAACUGCUGAUUGAAACUGUUUAGCUAGAGUGCAGGAGAGGUAAGUGGAAUUCCUAGUGUAGCGGUGAAAUGCGUAGAUAUUAGGAGGAACACCAGUGGCGAAGGCGGCUUACUGGACUGUAACUGACGACUGAGGC
RNAcentral lists this ribosomal RNA (726 nucleotides) under uncultured bacterium. Its description in RNAcentral is "bacterial SSU rRNA". It matches the Rfam family "Bacterial small subunit ribosomal RNA", at positions 28 to 752 of the family's 1533-position model. The record is from RNAcentral.